Molecule: long non-coding RNA, 2132 nt
Organism: Mytilus californianus (California mussel)
Lineage: Eukaryota; Metazoa; Mollusca; Bivalvia; Mytilida; Mytilidae
Exons: 3
Source: RefSeq, a predicted model, not a curated record
UUGAAAACAACGUUCAAACCUAUGAUUGGGUUGGAUAAAAACCGCAAUUUUUAUACGUGUGCAUGCAAAACAAUUAAAUUUCAUGUUAGAGGGGUCUAAAUACAGCACAAACAAUAUUUUCCAAAAGAUACAUGAUGUUAUGUUCUUCCCUCGCUGGGAUUAUAUAUUUAUUUAUAUUUAUUAUUUAGAUACACUGCUCCACCUCCACUUGCUCCAUCCGUGGAGAUUAGGACGAAACAACACCCUCAUACCCAACAAAUAUCAAAUGAACAAGAUGAGAUUACUUAUUUGGAAAAGGUGGACAGAAUAACCAAUAAAAAGAUAAUGAACUUGCAAGUGAAAAUGAACUACCACAACAUCAUAUUUAAAAGAACUGAAAAAAAAUUGGAGAAAGAAAUUAAAGAUGGUGAUAAGAUAGAAAAUCGCCUGUUGUACCUUAAAGUACAAAAAAUGUUUAGUAAUUGAACAUAUCAAUAAAUUAAGAAUAAUAUUGUAUUUAGUCAUUUAUUUUAUAAAGAUUGCAAUCAUCAUUGAUUCAUGAUUUUGUCGCCUACACAGUGUUUAAUCAUUGUCAGUGUUAAAAUUAAUCACCUGUUUCACAAGCGAAAAAAAAUCUGUCAUUAGGUGUUAUAAAAGGAUGAGUCAGCAUUAAAAUGUAUGGGUGCUAUAAAAAUGUAUGGCAUUAUGACGUCAUGAUAGGUUUGACGUCAUGAUAGGUUAGAAGUGGGUGUCAUAAGUUGUCAUAAUGGGUGUUUUAAUUCAUAUAAUUUAUUUAUGACCCCUAUAUUAUAUCAUUUUAUGUCAUAUUAUGUCAUAUUAUGUCAUUUGAGAUUAUGUAAGAUGAUAUAACUUGGGGGUCUUAAUUUUAUUUUGGGGGGUCCAAGAACCCCCUAUAGUAGAAGUCGAAGUUAGUUUUAGACACGUCCAAUGUAGAGAGUGAGGAUCAGGGGGAAACCAAGACAAAAAGCCCUGUCAAUGUCAUGCCAGUACAGACAAAUAGCUAUAGCCCUGUCAAUGUAUAGCCAGUCCAGACAAAAUCUAGGACAAUUAAAAGUAAUAAUAUAUAGUUCAGAGUGUUUAUUGGGCUAUGGUGCUAUCUUACUUUAACAUGUCUAUGUUCCGAGAUAUGAACAAAAACCAAGAAGUGGACCAUGGAACACUACCCAAGACUCUUCCAUGGUUGAAGUAUCAUUACUAUACCAUGUGGACAUAACCAAUAAACUUAACCAGAGUCAAUGAAGCGUAAUAUGAAGGUCAAAGUGACCUGAACGUUAUUGGACCUUGCAACACUACCCAAGAUGCUUCGACAGGUGAAUUAUCAUUUCUAUAACGUGUAUUUUAAAUUUUACUUUGAAACAAACAUUAAUAAUUUUUUUUUAAGAAUGUCUGUACCUUUCACGUUUCACUUGGAUGCAUUGAAACAAUGCAAACUUUGUAAUUCAUGCAAUAUGUUUAAGGAGGAAAUGGAUAAAUUUAUAGACUGUGUUCCACUAGUCAUUCAAAGACUUUUCAUAGACUCAUUAGUUGAGACUUUUCACUGUAUUAUUCAUUCACCGGGGCACAUGUGGUUCUUCCACCUGUUUAAGAGAGGCGACCAGUUUUUGGAGUCUUUUUACCAUAUGCAAAAGGAUGGAUACCAGUAUUAGACGUCAGAUAAUGGAGGUUAUAUGUUAAUGUAGCAAAUGACAGGUAAGCAAUUAAAAAUAUAAAAAAAAAACAAUUUUCCAAUUUAAAACAUAAAAAAUGGAAAAAAAAUUAUAAUUUUUAAAAUGACUGGGGACUUCCUGCAUAGGAAGAAAGAUGCCACUUUCCAUAUUUUGACCCCUACCACCCCUCUUGCAAAAACAUCUAGUCUUUUUACACAAACACACCAACAAACCCAACAAAACUGAAAUAAAUAUAUGAAAAUGUACUACAUGAAAGAUGAAAGAGAAUUUUUUUUUUUUAAAUAGGGGUAAACAAAUAUGAGCAAUGAGAGAAAACCAGGACAUUUUAAUACAUGUGUAGAACUUUUCAUUCUUUGAUGAAGGCUUUUAUUAACUUACAUUUUCCUAUAAAUAGAAAACACUGUAAAAUGUUACAUUGAUUAUAAUAUGUCUUCAAUUUCACGGACUGAUAACUUAGAAUACAUA